This 376-nucleotide unclassified non-coding RNA is filed under the name plant metagenome. RNAcentral's name for it is "partial contains 5.8S ribosomal RNA, internal transcribed spacer 2, and large subunit ribosomal RNA". The stretch from base 1 to 103 matches the Rfam family "5.8S ribosomal RNA", at positions 52 to 154 of the family's 154-position model. The record is from RNAcentral.
AAUGCGAUAAGUAAUGUGAAUUGCAGAAUUCAGUGAAUCAUCGAAUCUUUGAACGCACCUUGCGCUCCUUGGUAUUCCUUGGAGCAUGCCUGUUUGAGUAUCAUGAAAUCUUCAAAGUAAAUCUUUUGUUAACUCAAUUGGUUUCUACUUUGGUAUUGGAGGUCUUUGCAGCUUCACACCUGCUCCUCUUUGUUCAUUAGCUGGAUCUCAGUGUUAUGCUUGGUUCCACUCGGCGUGAUAAGUUAUCUAUCGCUGAGGACACUGUAAAAGGUGGUCAAGGUAAAUGCAGAUGAACCGCUUCUAAUAGUCCAUUGACUUGGACAAUACUUUUAUGAUCUGAUCUCAAAUCAGGUAGGACUACCCGCUGAACUUAAGC